AGUUGGUUGCUGGGGCUGGAAAUGGCUUUCUGCAAGUAACGGCAGCUCCAAAACUGUGCUGUGUAUGGAGAACACAGCCUUUGUUUUGAAGUACUGCAAGGCAGUACAGGAUUUCAGGAGAGGUGUUGUUUUGCCAUUCCUGGGCUACUGUAAAGAAGAUGGAGAAAGCACUGUUUUUCUGGGAGACAAAUACUGAAUGUUUCAAAAUGAGAAGGAAUUCCUAAUGCAAAAUGAAGAGACGGCUUCAAAAUGGUGCUGUAGGAAGGAGAUGUUUUCUGGGCGUUUAAUUAUGGGGCUGAUCUGAAUGGGAACAUCCAAGUCUAUUUUGAUGUGAUGAUUGCAAACAAAGCUAAUGCAGUUUGCAGAGGCGUCAGUCAGAGUCGAUGGGAAUUUGUUUCCCUCAGUCAUAAAACUGCACCAGGCGCCGCAAUUAAAACCUUUUUUUCUGUGACUUGCUGGUACGUCAGGCAUCAGCACGAGGUUAGCAGAAUUCUAAGUUAUCUUGUUCAGAAUUCAGUAGGAAUUUCUGUGCUAUGAAGACGUGCUGGUAGUUUCACAGCAGAUCUUCCUUAUGAAUAUGUACACCAAAGUGCCUCAGCAUGCACCGUGCAAACCAUUACGUGCACGGAUGCGUGUUUGUUUUAAUCUCCUCGAAUGCAAAUGUAACUCUGCUCUUCUUGCUGUUGACUCUGCUCCCAUCAAGCUCUACGCCAUCGACUGCAUUGCUUUACUAGAUGUGUGCUGGGAACAUGGCUGCCAUAAGGUGUGUUUUCCUCAUUCCUCUCUGAGAUUUCUUGCCCUUGUGGCCUCUGGUUUUCCCUGUGUUAAGCAUUUUGAAUUUUUGUUCCUUCUCAUGCUCUCCCACAACAAGACAUAGGAGUGUCUCUGUCUGUUUUCCUCUAACCACUGAGGGAAGACAGAAAUGAGAAGAAAUCGUUCUCCAAGUUAUUCACCCACUGUGCUGUGAAGGUUGAGGGUUUUCAGAGUGGGAGGGUGCUGAAGACCUGAGUACUAGUAAAGAAAACAAGUUUUUUUUCCUCAUUAAUUUCUCCAUGUAUCUCUUAUUUAGGGAAAGAUGAGCAAAAACCAUAGACACACCAGCUGUGCUUUUGCUCACAUCAGGGAGAUGUCAAAUGAGAUGGCAAUGAAGGAAUAAAAUGGUUUAAAAGAAGUGCAGCUCCUGGUGAGACAUCAUGGCACAGAGGAGAAAUGGGCUGGGGAGCAUCUGGAAAAAUGGGGAUCCACAAACGAUUGAAUGCCACAGUGAUCUUAAAGAAUUGCUUAUCAGCUUGGUGAGUAAGUGUUUUGUUCAGACAGCUUGGGAGUUGGAGAGGGAAACUGGAGCAUUGGGGAGGAGUAAGUAUGCAAUUCCUGCAUCUGUCAGAGCAAUGACGGGGCAGGUGUGUAAGUCUGCCCUGGAAAUGCUUGAACAGACCCUCUCCAGGGCCUGGCUUAGUUCUCAGAAGAGCUCAGAGGGGUUUCUUGCUCAGCAUUGGGUAAGGGAAGUGCAGGUGGGGCUCUUAAAGCACAGAUGGAAGACAUCCACUGUGUAAUUUCUAAUGGCUUCUUUCAGAUUUGAGAUUCUUUGUCCCCAAAUCAGUAAUUACAAGAAAUUGCAAGUCUGAUGCUAGGACACAGAUCCUGAGUAACCCUAAGGCAGCAUAACUCCAUUGAACUCAAGGACUGCAGCAUCUUUUCUUCUGUUCUUGAACGUGGAUGAACAGAUUGCCUUACGCAGCCGUGGUAUAACAGGGGUUAAUCAUUAUUCAAGUGCUGCUGUGCCUAAUGUUUGUUGGCAUUUAAUUGAAACAAAGCCUAGGAAAAUGAAAAUGAGAGUAGGAGAUUUCCUAAAUCAGUGUGUCUAAGUUGGGGAGAAUUUAAUUUCUAUAUUGGAAAUUGCAAGUUUGACUCAAGAGCUGAGUUAAGCUUUCCUUCCUGUUUGUAUUAGAAUGGAUCAGUUUCUAAUUCGUAUAAAUUAAGUCCUUUAUUUAAAAAGAAGAAGGAAUGUAGGGGAGAUGCUUUGUUAUCAUUUUUCUGUAAGUUGUUCUUUUCCCAUCUGUUAGUUUUAAUAUAGUUUUUAUGCAUUUGAAAGUAAACACACUUUUUCCUGCACAACAUUCCUCCUGCUACUCCAGCGUCCCAAUGUAAGUUACAAUACAUGCUACACUCCAGUAGAAAAGCAUCACUUUUUUUUUCUCCCAACAAUUACCAAAGGUUACACCAGGUGCAAAGGCAUUAGUUGAUUUAAUGUUUUAGAACCAUUCAAGAGAAAGUGCACUUGUCACUUUCCAAACUGCCUAAUGCUGCCUUUGCCUCCAGCGAAACAAAAGAGGGUUUUGUUUGUGCUGCAGAAGAGUUUGCUCGUGAGCUGUUGCCACUUAAUUGUUGACAUUGUACCUUUGUAUUGCUCUUAGUUCAAGGAUCAUAAACUUGGUCAGGUUGAUUACUUACCAAUUAAUCUCAAAUGGAUUUCACCGUCUAAUCUAAUUACUUACAUUUCUGUUCUGUGCUGCUGUUACACCUCUUGUAAGGCUUUCAGCAAACUCAAUACUGACAAUGUACAAGGAUGCUGAGGCUUGGCAUUUAGAAAUGUCAGGAAUCACACGUGCUCGUUUCAGUUUGGUCUUUGUUUCUGGCUGUCCCAGUUACAGACGAGCCCCAUCUAGGUGGUGUCCCUGUCUGAGCUGUUACAUCUUGAUCAUAGCUGUCUUACGGGGCAGUCACGUUCUGGUCUGCCAGUCCCAUUCUAUUAUCUUCUAGUGAAGAAAAAAAAAAAAAAGCUGCCUAAUACCCUAAUGAUAGGCUCAUGAAAUUAUGAAGCGUGUCGUGCUGCGUAGUGGAAGAUAAUAGCUAUGCCAAUAACAGCAGCAGAACUUGUAAGCAUUUAAUAUUGGAAAGCACGAGAAUGUUUUAAACACAGCUUCGGAACGGGUGGGUGAGCAGCCAGGACUGAGCCUCUGUGAGAGGCGGCUUUGUGUGCUCUGCUGGGUACUGCAGGCUGCUCCGAGGAGGCCGAGGGAAGUGGUACCUUCUCCUUUUUUAAUGACAACUACGUUAAUUUGUGUUUCCAUCUCUCUCCCUAUGCCUCUGCUUAUUAGAGCGAAUCUGCGAGUCUCAGGGAGGCGGUGUUGAAGAGGAAGGUGGAGAUCACAUUGAGUGACACAGGAGUGGUUGCACGUGUGGGUUGGUGGCUGGUCCAGAUGAACUUAGCGGUCAUUCCUUAGCCUUAAUGAUGCUGUGAAAUAAGCCAUUGGCCAGUUUUUCCUUAAUUAGUAUCAAUAAUUACUUUGUAAUUUCAUCUGUACCACUCAGCAUGCUAGGCUUGGCAUGUUAGGCUCAUGUCCUGCUGCAGUGGGCAGAGCUGUGUGGAGGAGGGUGUCCAGGUUCAAGGGGCAGAGAGCUGUCUGAGAAAUCAGCUCCUGUGUGUCAGACUAAUGCAGUAAGGGAAGAUGGCAGAAAAAUAAUUGCGUUCUCUUUGUUAAUGAAAGAUCACUUCAAGUCAUUGAUGGCUUCACCAGCUUAAUUACUUUGCAGCGGCAGCAGUCAGAGCCCUUGGUUCGAGGUCUGAAAUAGCAUGUGUGUGUAGAUAUUCUGCAGUGAACAAGGCUGUUGUGUGCAAUGGCAGUUCAGGGGUGUGGAGGUGCACGUGGAGAAGUGCAGGAAAAAGAGAUGAGGUGCUUGGUGAAGGGCAGGGACAUCUCCCAACCCAACAAGUGCUGUGUGCAUGGAUGUGUGCUUGUUCUGUGUGAGAGUUGCUGUGUUCAGCUAUGUGCACGUUCUGCAGGGGAUCCAGCAGACAAUAAAACAUAUACAGUGAUUCAAUAGAACCCAGAGGGAACAGGUAAUGUGAUGCAAAUAUUGGGCCCAGCCAAGCUAUAGUAAGGAUUUAUAAGGCAGACAGCGAUUGAUGAGUAAAAUGGUUAUCUCCCACUUCUACGUGCAAGAUGAAGAAAAUGUCCAAAGAGGCCCCAACAGGGGUGAUAAAAGCAUUUUUGAGUUUUGUGAAGGAAAGUGAAUGUUUGCUUUGGGGAGUAAAGGAACAGAGGAGUGGUCCUGGCUUUGUCCUUGAGAGUUUUGUGUGGGAUAACGCUGUGCUGCACCAUAUGUGAGCAUGUGAUACCAAAGUUACCAGGAUGCCCCUAGAGACCUGUGAAGCAGGGCUGGUUUCAGUGCUCGCUUGGAUUAGUGCUUCUUGGCUGAGUCAGGCCCUGCAUUUUUCCCUGGUUAUUUCAAAGGCUUGGGUCAAUAGCAAAGUAAUCAACAUCUCAGAGCAGUGUGUUGGUAAGGGCCAACUCAUCAUAACCAGCUGUCCAAACAGCAGUUCUAUCGACAUCUGACUUUUGAAUACUUCUUAAGUUCAAAUGCAUAUUUUGUGAUAAUAUGAAAAAACUGCUGCUAUUCAGUCGUUGACCCAAAAUCUUUGUGGAACAUGGAGUUCUCACUUUAUGUUAGCUUUUCUUUUUUUGGUUUCCCAUUUAGAGCUGCAAGACAUGGUGCAGAGCAGUAGAAGUGUGUGGUUACCUUCAAGAUUGCAUUCAAAGGACCGAGGGGAUCUGUCCUGUGCUGGCACAUCACACCCUGCCCUGUCCUGGCUUCCUGGCUGGCAGCAAGAUGCCAACAGCCAUGCUGGGUGCUGCGUCACGGGGUUUUAUCGCUUUAGGAUCAUCAUUUCUGUGGUGUGCCUUGCCAGACUACGUGUUUCUGUAUCGUCUGACUUGUAAUUAUAUCCCCUCCGUGAAACAGUUUUCUGAUAAACUGGAAGGACUUAUUCAUCUGCUUCUGCUGAACUAUGUAUAGAACUGAGCCGCAGCCGUGAUUUGUACCCUUGUAGUUGUUUAUUAUUCCUUCCUGGGAGUCUCAAUGCCUGCUGGAGAAAUCUGUGGUGUGGGAUGGUGUCGUGGCAGUAGUGAAGAGCUGGGUUCAAAGUGGGAGGCAGCCAUUCCAGAACGUUUUUAUUUUUAGAUCCUCCUUUCCUCAGUCUUGGAUGCUGCCUCUCUGCCCUCCUUCAGUCUGAUUGCUGCCAAGCUGUGCGAGACAACUUCAGACUGACAUCCAGCCACAGCUUGAAAUGCGCCUUGAAAUCUGUUUUAAUUAGAUACGAGCCAUAAUAAUUUAAUUACAGAUCCACCCACUAAAUUGUCUGUUUUGAAUUUUAGCAGCCACAUUGUAUACAGAAACAAAAUGUUUGGAGCAGUUCCCUCUGAUUCCUAGCAAGGGCAUUGAAGCUAGGAGUGCAACAGCAGUGUGCUCUGCUUGUUUUACCUCUGGCUUGCUUGUCACCACACAGUGUGCAGCAUCUCAGAGUAGGGGACAGUGGAGCUGUGCAGGGUCUGGAGCACUGGUCUAAUGGGGAGCAGCUGAGGGGGCUGGAGUGCUUCAGUCUGGAGAAGAGGAGUUCAGGGGAGGCCUUAUCUCUCUCUAUAGCUGCCUGAGCAGAGGUUGUGGCAAGAGGGAGAUCAGCCUCUGCUCCUGGGUAACAGCAAUAGGAUGAGAGGGGUUGGCCACACUUUGCACCAAGGCAGAUUCCAGGUGGGAUAUGAGGAACAGCAUCUUCUCCAAAGAGCUGUCAGGUGCUGGCAUGGGCUGCUCAGGGGGUGGUGGGGGCACCGUCCCUGAAGGUGUUCAAGAAACAUGGAGACGUGGCCUGAGGGAUGUGGGCAGUGGGUAUGGUAGGGGUGGGCUGGGCUUGGAGAUCUUGGAGGUCUUUUCAAACCUCUGUGGUUCUGUGGUCUACAUAGAAUAUUCCAAGUUGGAGGAGACCCACAAGGCAGCUGGAACUUAGCUGCCUGCUCCUGUGGGUGUUUCCUAGUGCUGAGGAAGCCCCAGAGACAAGAGUGGGCAAUGGAUGGCUGGAGCUUGAGACGUAUCCCAUUGCCAUAUGAACAGACCUGCCAAAUAACUAGUUCCUAUCAACUGAAUUAAAUGGGCAUCAGAUGUUGAAGAUGGAAUUCCAUCUUUCAUUGUAGAUAUAUAGAGACCAUUGUCCCAGAGGAAUUGCUGCUGGGAACAAUGUUGGGGUUGCUAUGCAGCGAUCUGCAUACCAUGAGAUACAGCUGUCUGAAUUUGCAAUUGAGAAGAAGAUUGAUAACUGUUAGGUCCUUGGCCAUGUGUAGUAAUUAGAAUAGACAAAGCCACUUGGUCAUGUGAGGGUGCUGGCUGGUAUGUGAUGCCAUGCAGCAGGGCAGUGAGCGAGGGCUGUGCUGCAGGAGAGGCUGUGUCUGAGCAGUGGGCUGGGGGCAGCCCUGAGCUCUGCUGCAGAGCACUGCUCAAGCCCUCAGGUGGAUGCAUGCAUGCAUUGAAUCCUCCCAGUGGUGUCCAUCGUGAACAGAGAUGGCUAUUCUUAGGGACAGGGUGACAGCAGAACUGUCCUGGGGAAAAUACUUGCUAACACACCAAAGUGCUGUGUGAGCAAACCUGAAACACUCUUUACUGAUCAAGUGGGAGAUGCUAAUUUGAUUCAUUCUGAAUUAUCUAAAAGAAGGCAUUAAGUAAUGUUCUUGAAGGGCUUUGUGUUUUACUUCAGUAUGUCUGAGGACUGCUGUAGAGAAUAUUGUAGUUGACAGCACAAAUUCUGUAAUUCUCGUUAGCUUUAUGGUGUAACAUUUAUUUUUACUUUGCCAGCAUUGCAGAUUCAGUGCAAUCUUCAGGUUUGAACUGUUCUGUACCUUCAUAUUCACAAAUGAGUAAUUUCCAGCUUGAUAAUUUCUUCAUUCUUACUUGUUCUUCAAGAACCUUCUUCAAGAACAUGUAAGUUCUUGAAACUUGCGAAGGAUGUUUUUUUUUCUCCAAAAUUUUGGACAGCUAUUCUGAUGAAAUCCUGUUAACAGGAUUUCUUAGUGGUGAGCAGUUGGUUGAAAAGCUGAGAAAUCUAAAUUAAUUCUCCUUUUUGUUGCCUGUGGUAUAAAAUCCCAUUUAAAUCAGCUAUGAAAGCUGCUGGAUGGGAGCAUCCAUUCACGUGGGCAGCGGGUGCUAGAAAACAGCUGCUGUGCUGUGAGCUCAGCUGGGAUCCCGAAGAUGACUGAGAGAUGUGCUCCUGGUAAGUCGGCAGGGACCCUUGUGAUGGAGGCCUGAUGUCCUGAGGGUAAUUCUGCCUUCACCUGUGCUGUGAUUGGGCUGUGCUGCUUCAUCCAGCUGCCUCCGGAGCAGGAAGCUGGCACGGCACUUGUCAGGUGCUCCUCUGUUUCCUUGGCUACAGGACUGUUUAAAUGCCAUCAGUUUUAUUGGCAUUAAUGAGAACCUUCUGGGACACGUGUCUUCCCACAAUAGGCAGCAGUCUCCUUUGCACUGCAGGCUGUGACAAAGCACUGGCUGUGGGGAUGUGGUGUUUUGGGUACCGAUCACCUCCCAGGAGGAAGAAAGCAGUUUAAGAAGAGAGAAAUACUAAAACUGUGUAAGUCUCCAUACUGAACAUCCUCGGAUGACGUCCUUUAUUGUUUGAGUCUUUCAUUCUGUGACACUAACAUGCUACCAAGACUUUUUGCUUCCAAAAACCAAGGAUGUGUUUCUUUACAAACACCUAUAAUUAUGUCAGAAUUGUAUAAAAGGUUUUCUAUUUGCAUAGGAUAGCAUUAAUUUUGCAUUCUUCUCUCAAAUGAAGCACAGAGAAGGAACAAAUAAUUUAUUCAUGCAAAACCAACCCACAUGAAUCAUUUAUUUACCACUUCUGGUGAUUUCUCAAGCUCCCUUUUUGUGCAUCAAGCUGCAAAUUAAUAAAAAAUUUCUAGGGAUUGGUUUUGUCCUGAGAAAAGUAAUUCCCUCCAUAGCUUCCCCUAUGCAGAAAAGCAUUAUGUGAACUUGGGGAGAAAAAGUCCAUGGGAGGGAUUUUGUUUGUUAAAUGAACUCUGAAAGAGGAGCUGUAAGAGAAGCAGUUCUCAUUCCUAAUGAAGAUUUGAAAAGAGAAUUCUUGAAGUCAAUCCGUGAAUUCGGAGCAACUCCCUCUGUUACGUGAGGUUUUACCACCCUGUGUGAUGCAUGAGAUCUGCAAAAGCAUGAAGAGGUGAGUGAGAGGUGUCCCGACUUCCUAAAACUGUGGUCCUUUUCCAGCAUCAGAGUUUAACAGAACAAAUUCUGCUCCUGCUGGGCUCCAUGGAGUUUGCUGUUUGGAGGUCGUUUGGAGGAUGUUUCGUGUGGUACCACGUGGGUUUUACAGUUAGGGUUAGGUGCUGUUUCUUGAGCCACCGUUUGGUGCUCAGGAUGGGUUUUGCUCCAUGUUUUGUUACUGCAGGGCAUCCUCCUUCCAUCUCAGAGGAUUCAGUGGUGCUGUGAAACAAGGGAGAGUGCACAUGCCUGAUGGAACGAUGGGCAGAUGCUCGGAUGUGCUGUAAUUGAGAAUGCUGCAAGGCUGUCAUUUUACACUGAGUUAAGAGCUUCACAAAUACGGGAAGAUUAUCUUAACGAAGGUGAAAAGUAAUUAUUGUGCUUUUUUGCCACUAUCAUCAAGGGCCUGUCAGCAUCUCCAUUGUGCUAGAGAUGGCUGGGGAGGCUAAUCUGAGUGUCUGUGAGGAAUACUUGUGUGGAAUUAAAACCUGGUGAGAGGUGCAAAUGUUUUGUUUAGUGCUCUGAUUAGCUUUCUUUCUCUUUCAGUAAAUGGGCUCUUGAACUCAUCACUGGUAUUUCUAUAUAGACUUAGUUUAGGCCAUUUAAGCAAAGGUAGAAUGAUCACAAGGGAAGUAGUUACUGUUUGAUGGAUUUUCAUAGCUCUGUUGGAAGUAUUUUCUCUUGAAAUGCACGUUUGUGUCACAGGAGUCAGUGCCUUAAUGGCAGUUGUUGUGUUCUGUGCCAUCCAGCAGAUGAGCUGAAUACACUGAACGCUGUGUUUUGGGAAACUCCCCUCUUAGCAAGGCUCCUUCCCUGAUGAAAAGCGUGAGAGCAGAAAAGCUGAAGUUUCUUUACUGUCUGCCAGUUAAUGGCCAAGUCCUCACCUUGCUCUGGUGUCCCACGAUCAGAUUGUUGUACCUGGGUGUUGCAAGCAAUCUCUGUGGUUGUUGAUUUGGUGACGCAGCACUUUAAAGUUUGUUGGAUCUUCACAAGGUCUUGUUUCAAGGGUAAUUAAACAACUCAUUAGAUUUGGUAACAUUGGAGAUUGCAUUUUUGAUUUUACUUGCAUUUUAAAAUUUACUCCAGCUAAAAAAUAGUUUUUAUAAAUGGAACUGGAAGAAGCAACUAGGGAUGGGUAUCUAUAAGUUUGCAAAUUAUGGGUCAGGGAAGAGUGUGGGGAUUAUCUGUCUCAGAAGCAGAGCUGCCCAUUCUGAUUGGUCUUUCUCACUCAAAGUCUUGAUAGAUUUGAAAAAAUUAAAAGUGAUUAAAUUGAUCCAACCACACAGUGGUUGUUGAGAUCUAAAUUUGGUUAACCUCUUGCUUGAGAUGAGGAGCUAAAAAGUGCUAAUGCUAAAUAUACUGUAUUUAAAUCCGUUGAUACGAUUGACAUUGACAGCAACAGGCUCUUCCUAUGGAAAGGUAUUGGUUGUGUUGCUGAAGGCUUGACAUUUUUAGAUUUUACAAGUAUGAUUUGAGUCUUGCAGAUCUUAAAAGUGAGACAACGAUUUCUGUUCCCAGCUCCAUGCUGUCAUAGAAGAACAGAAAAGCUGAAUUCUGAGUGCUUGGAUUUAAAAAGAUUUUGGAAACAUACUUAAAAGCCACAAGGACAACAUGAAACAAGGAAAUGCAAGCUUGAAAAUAAUUCAUUUGCUUUCUGAAUAAUUAAAAACUCCAUGUGAAAUGCAUGAUAACGCUUCAGUCCUCAGCAAGCUAGCAAUGCUUAUUUACCUGGUGUAUUAUAGUUGGCAAUUUAUGUCCUUCUGCUAACAAUAUGCCAAUUGAACAUUCUUGCAUUUUAUUACUAAUUUCCCUCAGUCAGUUCUUCUUGAAGAUGAACACUACAGUGCAGUUUUCACGAGUAUGCAGGUGAUUACUAAGAUGCAUGGAUUGGUGGCAGCAGUCGCUGGUUGGUGCCAGCAGCUUUGGAAAGUGGAUGCUACCAGUUCCCAGGCUCUGGACAGCUUGUUUCAUUCUUCAUUCUCAAAGUCAUCAGAACCUGGCAGUCCUUAGCAGCAGUGGGCACAAGGAGACUCUGGGGGCAGCUGGCCACAAGAGGACCCAGAUGAGGAUGUCAUUGUGCUCUUCCCAUGCAUCGUGACCGUGAUGCAAAAAGUCCUUCCAGGGGUUGUCUGUUGGAUUUCAUUGGCAGCUUCAGAAGAUGAGCUGAGAGGAAGAGCUUCUGCAUGAGGCACGGCCCAGAGGGACGCUCAGUGCCUGCCUGGGCUGUGUGCUCGCUCAUGUCUCCCUGCUGCCCUGCAGCUGGAGAAGGCUUGAAGGUUGAAAUUCAAGUCCAGGACAAAUCCAUCAUUGGAGAGGUCUGGGCAUCCCUGCGAUGUCCCACUGGUGUCAGCAUUGGCAGAAGGAAGGAGACCCAGUCCCCGCUGUGAUGCUGGGGUGCCCUAUGCUGAAUUCCACAGGUGCAAAGAGAGGAGGAACUGCCACUUCCCAGACCGUUGGCUGAAGGGAAGAGAGAAGUUGGAAGCUGUCUGUCUGCAAUUUUGGCUCUGCAGUACUACUGGCUCGGAGUGAGGCAAAAAAGCAGCAGUACCAGGCAGCAAUGUGCACCAAACCACAUAGCUCUGCAAGAGGUAAAUCUGCUCCACUCCUUCACAGCCUGUCCUGCAACUUGUUUCUAGGUGGAUGUACAGAAAGAUGUCCGUGCCUCAUAAAGUCCCUACUGGUAUGUUAGCACUGAUUUAACUCUGAUGUAGUUAUAGGAAUCAUGUAAUGUCUUAAAAAUGAAACUGCCUGAAAAAGACUUCAAAGCUUCUAUUAAAAUGUGGGGGAGCACGUCAAGAGUACUAAAAAGAAAUAAUAAUUCCAUCAUUUCUUUGUCAAAUAUUUAUAGCAUCAUACACAUUGCAUUUGUUGUUCCUCCUUGCUAAGAAGGUAUUUCUGGAUUAAUUGAAUUGGCUUCUGGCAUUUUUGAUCACUCUAGGAAUAUGAUUUUGCAAGUUAACAGUGGCACUUCCUCUCCUCUGGUUAUUUGCUACUGCAAAUGGAAUUAGUUCUCUUCAACUGGAAAAUGUUCUUUGGAAAUGACCUCACGUUAUUGUCUCCAAUCUCCCCCAGCCCAGGGAAGCAUGGAUGAAGCCAGUAGUGAAAAUCCAUUGUAACGUAGGUUCUGAUCAGCUCCACAUGCCUAGCCAGUCUAAUGCUGUGCUUUGUGAAUGACAUCCAGAGGCCACAGCACAGGGAAGGGCCAAGUGAUGGACUUUUGCAUUACCUGCUGCUUAUGCUGUAAGACCACAUCCAUCGCUCUAGUAAAAACUAACAAUGUGGCAGUUAUCAGUGGAAAAAGUGUGCUAUGGUAUUCACUAAACAGUAAUGGCUGUUUGUUCUGUGCCUUACGUGUGCUGUGGUGGAUUUGUUGGUGGGUCAGCUGAAGGACACCCAAGCUUUGAGAACGAGCUCUCUGACACUACAUGGUUCAAAAUGACCAUUGAUGAAAAACUGCAGAGCCAAGCAGAUAAACCAGGCGUGGGUCCUGGGAAAGAGGGAAUCAUCCCAACUCCCUGUGAACUCAGUGAGGCGGAAUGAAGAAGCAUCUGAGUGUCGUUAUUUGAGUCUCGUUAUUUGCUGAUACCUCAGUGUUUUUGCCCAGUGAGAAUCCUUCUGUGCCGAGUCACUGCGUUUGGGGUUGGUUUGUUCGAGACAAACACAGUUCCUCCAUAGUAGCUGAAUGCAGUAGGAGCCAGUGAGAAUUCAGGGGGCUGGUUCAAAAGAUUUCAGCUUUGGAAAGCCACGCAGUUAACGCUUGCUCCAGAAAAGGGGCACAUAAAAUCACUUUUUUCUGCAACUGAUGCUUAAUGGGGGCCAUGUGAUUGGUGGAGGUUGUUUUGAGUGCAUGUAAGAAACUAUAUAUGUUUAAAAAAAUAUCGUGUGGGGAAACUGCCAGGCCUGGGAAGUGCAGUGCAAGCUGUCCUGGCGAGGCUCAGCGUUGACUCCAUACUUUAGACAUCAGCUUUUAGCAUUCUCUGCCUUCCUUUCUGUUUAUAAAAUUCAUUUUUUAGUGCACCAAACCUCUACAAUAGUCAUUACAGGUGUGAACUUGCUAUCAACAGAAAUAAUGCUUAAUUUUAUGGGAGAUGCAUAGAGGGAAUUAUUUCGCUAGGGGCUAAAUAAAUACAUUUUCCAUAGCACCUCUCAAUUCCCAGAGCAUUAAGAAACCACAUUUCUGUCAGUAAGCAAAUCCACAGCUGAUGUCUGGGCUAUCAGCAUGCUCAUAUUUCUUGCAGACUGAAAAUGUGAACAUCAUUCUUGCUUCUUCCCUCCCAGUAAUGCAAGGAAGAGGAUCCCUUGCUGUCUGGGUUGUGAAACUGCUUAACUUAGAGUAUUUGUUUUACCAAGGGAAGAUAAUGGUAGGGAAGAAGGGGGUGGCAUCUGGUUCUGGGGCAGGAGGGCCUUCAUUGCAGUGCUCCUGCCCCAGAGGGGAGCUGUUGAUUGUUCGGUUGUUGGGGUGAUCCAAGCAAAAAGCAGGGUUAAAUUCCCAUCGCAUUAACAGGAGAACAUUAAGGAAUAAUCUCGAAAAAAACCCAACCCUAUUCAUUGCAGUGUUUGUAGUUAAUUUGCCAACUACAAAAAAUAGAUGCUGAAUGUGUUUUCUUGGCCAAAGGAAGAUGAAGCAUUGUCGCUUCAGUGGCAGUUGUGUUAAUGGUCACUGUUAACAACUGCUGAAAAAAGAAACAAGAUAGUUUGCACAGGGCUAUUUGGGUACCUGUUUAGAAACAGCUAUUCUUCUAUUGCAGUAGAAUAGAAAGCAUCACCCUCUCCACAGUUAAGUAGUUCAUUCUUGAAAAAUUCCCUUUCUAUUGCAAGUAGCAUCAGCGCAGAUUUUGGUUGGCAGCCAUAUAUGCUAAACACGCCUAGGUAGGAGUCUGAGGGAUCAGAUACAUAGAGAAAAUCACCUCAGGCUAAGACAAGCAAUUUAUUUUGUGCUCGCUGCGAGCCAGAAGCACACGCUGAUCUGCAGCACCUCCCCAUUUCUCCACAGUGCCAUUUUCAUCCAGCAAGCCUAAGCAGUGCAGCUAGUCUUUUGGAAAAUUGUCUGUUGUGCUAAUGUUCUGUUAAUGACUUGUGCAGCUUGCUUAUUUCCCAUCAUCAUCGUUUGUGAAACGACUCUUGUCGGAGCUCCCUGCAGCACCAGGGAAGCUCAGCGGCGGCACUGCGGGCUGUGGGGAAGGCCUGGGCCACGCAGCCAAGUUGUGGCAGCACGUGGGCACAUCUGUCACAAGUGACGCCCAUCUGAAUGAUCUGGAGAGCCUUCAGCUAAAGCACGGGGAUUGAGAGAGCUGAGCGCGGGGCAGAGCGCAUACAAAGCAUGGCUGAGUCAGGGGCAGGAGGCACCCAUGGGGCAGGGAUGCUGCAACAGGCAGGUGCGCCUCGAGCCCUCUGUGAGAACAGCUGGCUCACAGAGGACAUGGGCAAUUCUAAGAAAAGGAUGUUGAGCUGAGGUGUUUGCAGUUCCAUAUCCGUGCAUUUUGUGUGGAGGAGAGCUGACUUAUUGGCGCUGCGCUGCACUUCAACAAUAACCUUCAAUGGCGCGACGCGAGGGAGACAUUCGUGUACGGCCACAGGCAGCGUGUGUGCAGCCAGUAACCUGCUAGGGAAGUAAGCACAGCACAGAACCUUCUCUGAAGUGUUGUGUUCCCAUCAUCGGGUCCGACUGCAGGCGAGAGUCGCAGUGACCCCGUGUACCUCCUAGAGAAAGCCUGCUCCUGGACCCAGAGGUGCAACUGACCUACAUGGAGAGCUCGUUUCCGCCAAGAGUCACAUUUAGAAGGGCAGUCCUGUUCAGAGGAAUACUGAGGAAUUGUGCCUGAUAGCAAGCCUUUUCUAUGGAAGUUUUUAAAGUUGUGGAUGUCAUCAGGAAAUAAGAUGCUGACGGGACUGCAUGGGUAAAAUACAGAAAGGUCAAGCUCGAAUGGUGCAAGUCACUUGAAAAAGCACACCAGAAUCUGAAAACGGGAGUUUGUUGUUAAAAGCAAAGACAGAAGAAAGGACUUACAGAAUAUGAAACAAAGGAACAAAAGCUUCAAAACGUGUUCUCAGGGAUUUGUAAUAUUUACAGUUUGGGGUUUGUUUUUCUUUUCCAUACAAGAAAUGCGUUGCUUUUUAAACUGUAUCUUUUUGUCUGCUCAUACGUUCCAAAAUAAAGUCAGUGUUUAAUUUUAGGGAAAGCUCCAGGGAAGCGGGGAAAGCUGUGAUGAGAAGGCGAUUUGCUGUGUUUCAGAAGACAACCUCAGCAUGUUUUAUCAGUACUCUUUAGAAAAAUACUAGCCUUAUCUCCAUGGAAGAAAUGCAAAGAGCAUCCUCUUCAUAAUUCUUGCACUUCACAAACAGCAUAUUACAUCUGACGUUUAAAAAUUGCAAUUUAUUGUGGGCCUAUUCGUAAAGCUUGUGUCUGAUGCAGUGUUUUUCACUAAAACAUUGAAGUAAUUUUGUGGGAGAGAGGAAAAUCCUUUCCAUUUAUUUACUGAUCUUUAGUACAGAGGGAUAUCUAGCACAGUACAGUUACUGUACAUGGAUGGCCCAUCAAAUCAACCUUCGAAUUGCAACCCUGCUUGUCAUCUGUUUGAAAAUCUCUUGCAAAUUACCAUUAACAAGUCAUAUUAGAAACAUCAGGAAUAAUAAGUGCUUUCAAACAGUGGGCUGUCAAAUUACAUAGUCUGUUUGUUCUUUAGGAAGGAAAAAUUCAUAAAAGCAUUUAAAAGCCUUGAAAACCUGAAAGGCAAGACAUGUUUGUUCAGUAGUAAUAUUCUUACACGAGAAACUCAACUUAUUUUCUUAGCAUGUUUAUUUUCAUAAGAAAAUGUUUGUUUUCCUGAGAAAAUAGAUUAAUCUUGAGAAAAUACGGGCUGUUCUUUUGUGCUCAUGACUGUAGUUUUCAUCUCCUCCUACACAGGGUCUGGUCCUGUUCAGUACGAAGGCAGUAGUAAAGCUUUUAUUUCAUUCACUGGAGAAGAAUCAUGCGCCUUAUUAUUAUCCUCAUUCUAUGUAAUUACCAGAUAAAAUUAUUUGAAUAAAUUGGCUUUCAUGACAAUCAACCAAAUCAUUUCUAUCCUGGCUUAAAAGCCAAUUUCAUCUCCUUGUAGCUCUUCUGCACUGGAAGGCAGGACAAGUUCGUGGAGCAGGCAGAGCAGCGUGCCCCAGCCCGGCCUCACCUGCGCCCUGCGGAGCUGUGGGGCAGCUGCACAAAGAUGGCACGUCCCCCUGCUAACCUGCAUGCUUUGCUUUCCAGCACAUCCAAGGUACCGUGGUUGAUGAAGGACGAAACAGGGAGAUUCAUUCAUUUCCAGCUGUACGGCUGUUGUGCGUUCAUAUCCUCCUGUAUAUUUUAAAUGCAAGGGAGAAUUUAAACCUAAUUGGUUUUAGCUCGUAGAGCAUCAAAAAUUUACAGAGCAUAGCUAAUUUUGGGAGACCUGUUCCAACUAUUUUUUGCAUUUAGUGUAUUUGCUGGCUAAAGCAUGAAGGGAGACAAAUAUUACAGAGAUAUUACUGCAUCUUCUAAUUAAAGAACAGGCAGAAUUCAAUCUCGGCACAUUCCAAAUCUCUGUACCAAAUGAAAGGAUCUGAAGAACUUGUUACUCACGGGGGUAUGUGCUUCCUGGAUUUCAUACUAGAAUGACUCUGGCAAUAGGAAGCAGAGACGGGAGGGUCCAAAUCAAAUUAAGAAAAAUAAUAAAAUAUUAAUGGGAAUUUUAAACAAGGAAAUAGCUCUAGAAGAAGAAUGGGGGGAUUUAAAAGCCUAGGCUAGUUUUUGGAUUAAAUUUCUGAUUUGUUUUCUUUUUUGCCUGCUCCAAGAAGCAAGACAGCUUUGCUAGUGGAUGUUUUACAAAUGCUAAAAUGUGGAACGCAUAAGAAAUACUUUCAAUAAGGAGAAAUAGGGAUGCCAGAACUGCACAGAACUUUCAGAGUGCAAGAGAAAAACCGCCGUCGUCUCUCCUUGCAGGCUGGCUUUCUGGCAAUGCGAUUCCUUUGCUUCCUACACAGUUCUAGAUCAAACUCCAGUUAAUGAGUCACCGAGGAUCCCCGUGGUCGGGAAAGACCCCAGCACUGUUAAACAGACCACUGCAGUUUGUGAAGUGGCCGAGGAAAAUACUGCCCUGCAUUACCACCAAGGACCAGAGGUCAGCGCUUCGGGGCAGAGAGUUAUACAGCAAGAGCAUCGUACCAAAUAAAGUAGGAGAGAGCUGUUUCUCUGUGGCACUUUUAUAAAUCUGUGCAUUCUCAAUACAGCAUCCUGUUAAGUGUUUCAGGACUUAUUUACAACUGCUUUUCCCUUAUCUUUCUUUAAGUAUAUAUAUUUAUAAAAAACAACAAACAGGUAUCUGCUCCCUUUUGUAUGCUUGAUCUUUAGAAAUUGUGCUCCAAGUAAAAAUCCGUUCCCAUUCUAUUGGCAAUUCGGUCAGCUGGAAGGUCAAGAAGAUGCUAGCUUGUACCACCAAUCAAAUUAAAAUCUUACAGUUUAGAAGGUGAAGUUGUGAAAGCAUUCAAUGUUUUAUAGUGGAAUUGAAGAGCAGACACUAAUUCUCUUCUCAUUGAUGCCAAAGACAUCUGCUUUCUUCAUGAGGAAGAGAACUAGGCCAACUCAAAAUAGGCCAAUCCAGUAUUUUCCUUCAGUGCCACACAUAAAAAUGAAAGAUGACGUCUAAAUUGCAAAACAAAAUUCAAAUAAAGUUGCAAGGCUUCAGGAAGCAAUAAGAGAAGGUAACUUGAAGUACCUUAGUCCAGGUAUCCCUCAGAAUGGCAUGGAGGCAUGCCCUACUGGCCUCGUGAAGCCAAUUAGUGGAGGAUUAAUCAAUCAGCUGCAGGAAGAGAGUCUAGAAAAGCAGGCUCAUCACAUGCAUGCUCAGUAGGCUGUUUCUUAGCACAGUAGCCCUCUGAUUUCUCUUUUCAGAAUUCAGGCACUCUGGUUUAGGGAAGCAGGAUUACCACGCGCUGACAAAAGCAGCUCUAAGCCAGGUAGGAAUCAAAAACGUGAGCCUAUCUUCUCACAGCAAGGCACACGCCAAGGGUAGAGCUGCAGAUGAGCACUUUGUUCCUGAAGUGAACUGCUGUGGAUCUGUGCAGGUGCACGUGGUGGUGGUGGCACCCAGCCUCGCUCCCUGUGCCCCAUGCUGGCAUCACCGCCUCCAGCACAGCUGGGAGAAGGUAAGGCUGUGCACUCAGAAAUGAGGUUCUGGGUUGUUUUAGGAAAAAAAAGUAUUUUGUAUUUACCACAGCAUUUAAGGCCCGAUCCUGCUAAUUACUUAACUGGAGCUCAGGAUUUAGGAUUUGCUGCGGGAGCUCUGUGCAUCCUGCAGGACGGGGCUUCUCACCGCAUGAAGAUGUGAGCGCGGCUCUGGGCUCACUGCAAAUUACCACUGUAUAAACAGACAGCAGCUCAAUGGAUUUAUGUGCUGCCCAAAAGUUUGCAUGGAUUUUCUGCAGUUCUCUGUCUACAAAAUGUCUGCCAGAAAAAAAAAAAAAUCUUGAGCUUGGGAGGAUGAAGUAUCACACGUGUAUUGUUCAUGUAGCUAUGGUAACCCACAAAUGCCACCAGUGUUUCCAUUUCAUACACAAAUGAGGGGACAGCUGUGGAGACCACAUGUCUGCCAAUGGAAUAAUAUAUGUGAACUAGGAUGGCUUGGCCAGAAAAUUACAACUCAUUUAUAUUAAUCAGGGCUUCAAAGAACGGCCAUCUCUGCAGAGAUGAAGUCCACAGUAAAAGGGAGUGAUUUUGUUUCUCAAAGUGUUUGGCUCUUCAGUAAACAUCUUCACCAUCCUCCUACUUGCCGAUUUAAAAGUGGAAGUGUUGUGAGCAGGCAGUGCCCUUCUGUAAAUCUCACUGCACUUUUUCCCUUGGUGUGGUCUUUUUUUGCUGUCUGCCCUUAGUCUGGCCCGGCCCAAAGCCCACCUGGGAAAGCAGCAGUUCCCAAGCAGGCAGAAAUUAGCUCAGAACUGGAACCUGGCCACCAAAGUGAGACAACAAAAACAACUUCUUUUUGUUGUUGUUGUUUUACUCAUUGAUAACACUAACAGAAAUAAAAGCUUCAGAACAAA
Tympanuchus pallidicinctus (lesser prairie-chicken) is the source of this 18081-nucleotide long non-coding RNA. RefSeq lists it as uncharacterized. The transcript has 7 exons. Lineage: Eukaryota; Metazoa; Chordata; Aves; Galliformes; Phasianidae. The record is from RefSeq and is a predicted model, not a curated record.